AGGAGCUUGCUCCUUUGACGUUAGCGGCGGACGGGUGAGUAACACGUGGGUAACCUACCUAUAAGACUGGGACAACUUCGGGAAACCGGAGCUAAUACCGGAUAAUAUGUUGAACCGCAUGGUUCAAUAGUGAAAGAUGGUUUUGCUAUCACUUAUAGAUGGACCCGCGCCGUAUUAGCUAGUUGGUGAGGUAACGGCUCACCAAGGCAACGAUACGUAGCCGACCUGAGAGGGUGAUCGGCCACACUGGAACUGAGACACGGUCCAGACUCCUACGGGAGGCAGCAGUAGGGAAUCUUCCGCAAUGGGCGAAAGCCUGACGGAGCAACGCCGCGUGAGUGAUGAAGGUCUUAGGAUCGUAAAACUCUGUUAUUAGGGAAGAACAAACGUGUAAGUAACUGUGCACGUCUUGACGGUACCUAAUCAGAAAGCCACGGUAACUACGUGCCAGCAGCCGCGGUAAUACGUAGGUGGCAAGCGUUAUCCGGAAUUAUUGGGCGUAAAGCGCGCGUAGGCGGGUUUUUAAGUCUGAUGUGAAAGCCCACGGCUCAACCGUGGAGGGUCAUUGGAAACUGGAAAACUUGAGUGCAGAAGAGGAAAGUGGAAUUCCAUGUGUAGCGGUGAAAUGCGCAGAGAUAUGGAGGAACACCAGUGGCGAAGGCGACUUUCUGGUCUGUAACUGACGCUGAUGUGCGAAAGCGUGGGGAUCAAACAGGAUUAGAUACCCUGGUAGUCCACGCCGUAAACGAUGAGUGCUAAGUGUUAGGGGGUUUCCGCCCCUUAGUGCUGGCAGCUAACGCAUAAGCACUCCGCCUG
RNAcentral lists this ribosomal RNA (816 nucleotides) under uncultured Staphylococcus sp. RNAcentral describes it as "bacterial SSU rRNA". It matches the Rfam family "Bacterial small subunit ribosomal RNA", at positions 74 to 875 of the family's 1533-position model. The record is from RNAcentral. Lineage: Bacteria; Bacillati; Bacillota; Bacilli; Caryophanales; Staphylococcaceae.